Molecule: ribosomal RNA, 507 nt
Filed under: uncultured bacterium
Lineage: Bacteria
Description: bacterial SSU rRNA
Rfam family: Bacterial small subunit ribosomal RNA
Source: RNAcentral
GCUGGCGGCGUGCCUAACACAUGCAAGUCGAACGGGAAAACAGGGGCAACUCUGUGAGUACAGUGGCGUACGGGUGAGUAACACGUGACUACCUACCCUCGAGUGGGGGAUAACCCCGGGAAACCGGGGCUAAUACCGCAUAACAUCGCAAGAUCAAAGGAGUAAUCCGCUUAAGGAGGGGGUCGCGGCUGAUUAGCUAGUUGGUGAGGUAACGGCUCACCAAGGCGAUGAUCGGUAGCCGGCCUGAGAGGGCGCACGGCCACACUGGAACUGAAACACGGUCCAGACUCCUACGGGAGGCAGCAGUGGGGAAUUUUGCGCAAUGGGGGAAACCCUGACGCAGCAACGCCGCGUGGAGGAUGAAGUCCCUUGGGACGUAAACUCCUUUCGACCCGGACGAUAAUGACGGUACGGGUGGAAGAAGCACCGGCUAACUUCGUGCCAGCAGCCGCGGUAAUACGAGGGGUGCGAGCGUUGUUCGGAAUUAUUGGGCGUAAAGGGCGCGUA